Lates calcarifer (barramundi perch) is the source of this 1242-nucleotide long non-coding RNA. RefSeq lists it as uncharacterized. The transcript is spliced from 4 exons. The record is from RefSeq and is a predicted model, not a curated record. NCBI's taxonomy places the organism in Eukaryota, Metazoa, Chordata, Actinopteri, Centropomidae.
AAUCGCACACCUUGGUGCGCGCAACAGACGGUGUAGGUACAGUGAUGGCGGGUCUGAACAGAGAAACUGGUUCAGAGACACCGGGAUGAUCGAUACAACCACAGGAGGAGCUGGAAACACACCUGGACAGAACAGCGCCCUCCUGUGGUGAGAGAGGAAAAGACUCUUGGAGAACCUGGUCCUGUAAAACUUGGCAGAUCUACGAACCAUUGCAGGGUGCCAUGAGGUGAUGGAGGCUGCAGUAGGUUCAGCAAAUUCUUGUGCAGCCAGAUCAAUUGGGGUGGGAUGCUGUGGCCCAGAGAAGUUGUGUCCUGGAUGUCUCUGAAGGACAGGAAGUCUGAGCUGUACCAUUCCCCUCUUGAUAUUGAUGAUGCCUUGAUGUCACAGUUCACCGAUUAAGAUAAGUUACUUUUUCCAAAUAUAUUAUUUACUUCUAUUUGGUCCUUUUUUGGUUUUCUGAUGCUAAUUGAUUUACUGAUACUAAUUGAUUAUUAUUGUUUGUCUUUGUUUGAGUCAGAUGUCCAAACUGAAGGAGGAUUGACUGUGGCUUGACCUGAGCUGAUGCCUUGCCAACCAAAGGAUGCAGAUGCCUGCUCAGCCCCCCGGUGCCAUCAGAGGCGACAAUGCUGCAGCACCUGGUCCCUCCUACCUCCAUGGGCUCUGAUUUAUAUUAUGUUAUUCUUAGUGUAUUCUGUUUUAUUAGAUAUUAUUUAUGAUGUACAUGAGAAAUAAAACUUUUAAAAAAUGGAAAAAUUCCAAUGAAAACUUUAAAAACCCAAAUAUUUAAAAACUUAAACACAAAAACUUAAAAAUGUAUUUGAAAAUUAAAAAGCAACAGCUCCACAAAAACAAAACAAAAUUUUAAAAACAAAAACCUAAAAAAGCCAAACACCUAAAACAAAAACAAAAAUGUCUGACAUAAAACAACAGCUUAAAAAAACAAACCUUGGAAAACCAAAUAGGAAGUUAGAAACCAAAACUCCAAAAACUCAAAGCCACACUUGACAUUGCAAACAUUUAAAAACAUAAAAACCCACAAAUGUAAAACCCAAAACUCAAAAACAAAUAUUUAAAAAAAACUAAUCCCAAAAACCCAUAAACAUAAAACCCCAAAUUUAAAGACCUAAUACUUAAAAAAAAAAAAAAUCAAAACAUUAAACAUAUUGUAAAAAAAUUAAAAACAUCAAAAAUCUAACCCUCUAAAGAAUUCAAUGAAAAACUAAAAUCUUAAACACAAAAUGC